GUAGGUGGCAAGCGUUGUCCGGAAUUAUUGGGCGUAAAGCGCGCGCAGGGCGGUCCUUUAAGUCUGAUGUGAAAGCCCACGGCUCAACCGUGGAGGGUCAUUGGAAACUGGGGGACUUGAGUACAGAAGAGGAAAGCGGAAUACCAAGUGUAGCGGUGAAAUGCGUAGAGAUUUGGAGGAACACCAGUGGCGAAGGCGGCUUUCUGGUCUGUAACUGACGCUGAGGCGCGAAAGCGUGGGGAGCAAACAGGAUUAGAUACCCUGGUAGUCCACGCCGUAAACGAUGAGUGCUAAGUGUUAGGGGGUUUCCGCCCCUUAGUGCUGCAGCUAACGCAUUAGGCACUCCGCCUGGGGAGUACGGCCGCAAGGCUG
RNAcentral lists this ribosomal RNA (372 nucleotides) under uncultured organism. RNAcentral's name for it is "partial 16S ribosomal RNA". It matches the Rfam family "Bacterial small subunit ribosomal RNA", at positions 527 to 896 of the family's 1533-position model. The record is from RNAcentral.